Molecule: small nuclear RNA, 302 nt
Filed under: Mustela putorius furo (domestic ferret)
Lineage: Eukaryota; Metazoa; Chordata; Mammalia; Carnivora; Mustelidae
Description: 7SK RNA (ENSMPUG00000021803.1)
Rfam family: 7SK RNA
About the family: 7SK was discovered as an abundant small nuclear RNA in the mid-70s but a possible function has only recently been suggested. Two independent studies have found that 7SK RNA binds the CDK9/cyclin T complex (known as elongation factor P-TEFb).
Source: RNAcentral
GGAUGUGAGGGCGAUCUGGCUGCGACAUCUGUCACCCCAUUGAUCGCCAGGGUUGAUUCGGCUGAUCUGGCUGGCUAGGCGGGUGUCCCCUUCCUCCCUCACCGCUCCAUGUGCGUCCCUCCCAAAGCUGCGCGCUCGGUCGAAGAGGACGACCUUCCCCGAUAGAGGAGAGGACCGUUCUUCGGUCAAGGGUAUACGAGUAGCUGCACUCCCCUGCUAGAACCUCCAAACAAGCUCUCAAGAAGCAGCUAAAAGAAAAAUUAACAAUCUCAUUUACAACUGUACCAAAAAUAAUAAAAUAC